AAAACAUCGAAAUGAUUUUAUCCCACUUCGUAAGUGACGAUUGCAGCAGUGAAGAAGAAACAGCGGUAGAUCUGGCAAAAUAUCGCGGUGCGGUCAAACGACUGCGGUGUUUGUGUCGACCCGUUACAGCUUUAUAACCAAGCAUUUAAGAAAAAAAAUUCCGUAUGUAGAAGGAAAUUUUCCGUGACAUUCUGGCGGAGAUCGAACCCUCCGAGUAUUCCUAAAAGUGUAUGCAGUAUUAGAUGUGAUAAUUACAUGUACCUAUGCUGUUGGUUGUUGAAACAGUCACUCACUGAAGAAGUUGCUGGAAUCCAAUGCUAUUUAACGCAAACCGGGAGCGUGAGCCCUUCAUCUUUCGACUACCAUCGAAGUACAACAGAGGAAGGAAAUAACAGCAGCUUCUUAACCCAAAACAGCAGCUUCUUAACCCAAAACAGCAGCACGUUACCAGUAUCUCCAGCAUAUUGCCAUUUGUAUGGAUAAGGCAGUACACAUAUUUUUGUUUAAAAUGAUAAAAUUUGAUAAUUUCUGAAAUAAAAUACUUAUAUUUUGUCGUGAAAGCAACAGUAACAACUCUGUUGUUGUGUUGUGUUGGUCAAACAA
Molecule: long non-coding RNA, 603 nt
Organism: Anopheles gambiae (African malaria mosquito)
Lineage: Eukaryota; Metazoa; Arthropoda; Insecta; Diptera; Culicidae
Exons: 2
Source: RefSeq, a predicted model, not a curated record